Molecule: ribosomal RNA, 202 nt
Filed under: uncultured bacterium
Lineage: Bacteria
Description: partial 16S ribosomal RNA
Rfam family: Bacterial small subunit ribosomal RNA
Source: RNAcentral
UGUAGUCUGCAACUCGACUACAUGAAGCUGGAAUCGCUAGUAAUCGCAGAUCNGAAUGCUGCGGUGAAUACGUUCCCGGGUCUUGUACACACCGCCCGUCACACCAUGGGAGUCGGAAAUGCCCGAAGCCGGUGACCCAACCAAAAGGAGGGAGCCGUCGAAGGCAGGUCUGAUAACUGGGGUGAAGUCGUAACAAGGUAAC